CACGCGUAGGCGCGCUGCCUGCUUCUUCCCACGUGCACGCUCGUGCUUAUCUUCUGCCGUGUCUCACCUCAGCUUCAAAGGAGGAGGGACGCGGAGACCGUCAGAAGGCUGGGGUGCAAACACAUACAUGUACACGCGUGUUUGUGCGCGUCGAAUCGUCGACUGCGCUUUCAAUCUUUAGUCUCCCUUUUUAACUUGUCGUCUCUGAUCCGAGAGCAGAUCGCGCAGAGCCACGUGGCAUUCGCUCUUUCCUCAUCCCCCCGCCCCCCUCCCACGCGCCGCCUCUCUACCUCUUUGUUGCCGCAGCAGCACACGGUGGGCGGCGGCGAAGAAGGGAGAAACGCUGCGGUGCGGCUCAACGCACAAACUUCGACAGCUUUUAGGUGGAGGGCUGACAGCCCCAGUCAACACUCAUUAUGAACAAUAUCUGCCGUGUGUGUAUGCGCACCGGUGUGAGCAUGUGCAUCGACUUGCGUCUGUUCGCAGGCCGUACUUGGUCAUUCUCGCAGCGGAUGACUUCGCACUCGCCCUUUCACCAAAAGUCGCUCUCGCUCACCUGCUCGAGCACGCUGCACGGCCUGCGCUAUGCCUCUAGUCGCACCUUCCGCACGUCGGCGUCGACCUCGACUGCGAAGCGCAAGUGUAAGGGAUCCCCCACGACGUCGACUGGGCCCAGUCGCAGGACAGAGGCCGCGGCUUCUUCCAAAGAUGAAAACGCCGCUGACCUGUUCGCGGCGGAGGAGCAUCGGUUGACGGAGAAUGAUGUGCGGCUGGCCAUGCGCACGCUCAUGGCGUCGCACUUCAGCCUCGUCCAGCACGCCCGAAAACCGGAGAAGAUGCAGGUGGCAAAGGAGCGGGAGGCGAUCGAAGAAAAGCAUCAGGGUAGGCAACGGCGUCUCCUCGAGAAGGACGAGAACUCACUGCGACUACUCGGGGCGGACGGCAUGGUGAUAGGAGAAGGCAUCCUUCCGCUUUUGGCGGCAGCUAAGAGGAACCCCUACGACGCGACUAGCUCUCGCCGUGCCACGUCAUCGCCUGACAACGCUGCGUGGCGAGCGCUGAACCCGGUCGGUCUCGCAGCCUCACAAGCCGUCGCAUCUGCCUCGCUUCCGGGCGACGGCGAUGACGCCGACGCGCUGAGCGAGGCAGAGUACGCGUCUUUCCUCGCACGCUCUGGGGCGGCAUCGAUCGACGGUAGCAAAGCGGAGGAGACGGAGACGGACGCGUGGAAGUCGGCCACGCUGGCGACACUGAGCGUACCUGACCUCUCAGUCUACGACGCAGACCACGACUUCCGCAUCAACAGUGAGGAGUUGGUGCGAGGAGCAGGGAGUUACAGCUCCAGGGCGGCGCCGUUGAGUGCGGGCAGCGCCGCCGCGGUGCAGGCUGAGAGACCAGACGUGCCGACCGGCUUAGAUCCGUUGUCGACACGCCCAAGUUCAUCCAAGGCAGUUGCCGCGGCGAUGCAGCUUCAGCUGGAUGAAGACGAGGACACCGACUACACCGUCGCCGCCUUCAUGGACGACAAAGAUGAUCCGUUGGACUUGUGAUGGUGAGUCACUGCUGCUGCUGGUGCUGCGGCCAUAGUGUUUCGCACUCGAAAGGAAGGGUGCGCACCUCGCGAAGCAUCGAAAAGGUCUGUGCUGGCACGAUGGCGCUGAACUUUACUGUCUAUUUUUCUUCCGUGUCUCCUUGCAUCUCUGUAUGAGUGUACUGGGAAGGCUGCUUGUAGCAACGCAGCGGGAGCGCCGCGGUGAAGCCUCAGUCUGCUUGGCGAGCGUGCGUGGCGCAGUCGCUGGAUCGACGUACAGCCCUCUGACGGCCACACACGGCCUUGUGUAAGUCCACUUCUUCGCACAGCGUUAUGAACAGAAAAGAUGACACGUUGCCUGCUCGCUGCUUCCUUCCCUCUUUUCG
RNAcentral lists this unclassified non-coding RNA (1917 nucleotides) under Leishmania donovani. Its description in RNAcentral is "gene:LdHU3.22.2050(CDS-product:hypothetical_prote in_conserved)". Lineage: Eukaryota; Euglenozoa; Kinetoplastea; Trypanosomatida; Trypanosomatidae. The record is from RNAcentral.